Molecule: long non-coding RNA, 4562 nt
Filed under: Sus scrofa (pig)
Lineage: Eukaryota; Metazoa; Chordata; Mammalia; Artiodactyla; Suidae
Description: lncRNA (ENSSSCG00025064238.1)
Source: RNAcentral
UUUUUUUUUUUUUGGUCUUUUUGCCAUUUCUUGGGCCGCUUCCACGGCAUAUGGAGGUUCCCAGGCCAGGGGUCGAAUCAGAGCUGUAGCUGCUGGCCUAUGCCAGAGCCACAGCAAUGCAGGAUCCAAGCCACGGCUGCAACCUGCACCACAGCUCACGGCAACGCCGCAUCCUUAACCCACUGAGCAAGGCCAGGGAUUGAACCCACAACCUCAUGGUUCUUCGUCGGAUUCGUUAACCAAGCCAUAGCAGGAACUCCAGAAAAUCCUGCCUUUUGAAUAAAGACAAUAAAAAAAAUAAAGAAAUGAAAUUCAGUUUCCUCUCUGAGGAGAGUUGGUUUGUGAUUUGGAGAUGGUUCCAAGAUAGAUCCAAGCAACAGGGGUUUAUAUGAUUCAUCUAGUAUGCCACCUUUAACAUCUUUUUUUUUUAAAUGAAAAUUCUACGUAUUUCAGGUUUACAACCUGAUGCUUUGAUAUACCUAGUGAAAUGAUUACUAUAAUCAAGCGCCAAACUAAUUAACUUCUUACAUAGUUACCGUAUUUUUCUUUCGUGAUUGAGAGUACCUGAAAUCUACUCUGAAUGAAUUUUCAGUAUUACUACAGUGUUAUUAACUGUGAUCCUUAUGCUUAAUUCCUCUUUUUCUCUGCCUUCAUGCCUUCCUCCUCAUUAUAUACUCAAGCUUUAGCUUACUCCCUAGCUUUGUUGUAUUAUGCUUCCUCAUAAGUUUUCAGUUAUUCAUUACUAAGCCUUGCUUACUACUCUAGUGUCUUUGGCUGUAUCUCAUGUUUCCCAGCACUGUUAUUGAAUAUUGUUUCCUCUGCUAUGGGCCUCACUCUUUCUGCAUUUCACAAACUUUAUUUUUCAAUGCAAGGGUUUAAGUGGCUUCGCUUACCUUUGCUUGAGUAGUCAGUUUUUGAGUCUUACAGUGGCAUAACACUUGGGUACUGUGUCUCAUAUCUGGUACAUUCUGCUUGGGAUGACAGGACAGGUCAUAUUCUAAAAUUCAUUACUCUAGGACUAGGACUGCCUGUCUCGAGAACUGAGUGGGACAGUUGAACUUAGAUGGGACUUGAGUGUAGCCACCACUUGAUUCACAUGUGUUUGUAUUGCAUUUCCACAUCUUGACCACAGAGCACAUAUACCUUUCAUCUCAUUUUUUUCAUUUCUAAAGAUGCUUCUGUUUAUACUUUUCCAGCAGCUCUUAAGCAGAAAUGUUAGAGAGUAACCAGGUCACAGCCAGAUACUGUAGUCUGAAGUGAUGUCAUGAGGCCACUUUAGAAAUUUGCCUGCCAAAUUUGGAAGCAUCCACCUAUCUUUGAUCUUCCUUGGUGACUGAAUUUCCUCUGUUGUGAUUGUACCAAAACUUACCUUCAUGAGAUGUGUAGUCUUGCAAUAGUAACUUUGCCACAGUUCCUGUAGACCCUUAACAUUCUAGCCUGGGUUGUGGUGGGGUGUGUCUGUUACUGUCCCACCACCAAGUAAUAAACAGGUUUAAAUAUUCCAUGUCCUACCAAAGUUCUGUUUAUGUAACCCAACUCUACACUAUUUUCUGAUUACAUAGGAUUUCUGGUUUCAAGAAAUAAGACACAGGGUUAGCUAAAGAAAUGGAUAUUUAUCAUAUAGGUUCAUAUAGUAAGACAGAGUAAAGAAGAUAGGGAUUUCAUAGGAAUCUUAAUCACUUGGGAUUUGUAGACCUUUUCUGUUGACUUGAAUGAGACCAGCUAUUUGAUCAGCUAUUCUUCCAUCUUCAUUUUUUCUUCCUCAUGACUGGAUUUGCCACUAAGCCCUACUUUGACGAGGCUUUCAGCUUCAGCAUUCACUGCUAAUGACCUAGUUUUCAUUGUUUCUACUCAAAUUCCAAAGAAUGAGAAUCUUAAUUGGCCUAGUUUAUCUGUGCAGUGCUUUUUCAUGCUGAGACAUGUCAUAGGCUCCUGGCAAUGUAUGUCCCAUCAACUGUGCUCAGUGGAGAGGAUGUAAUAAUAGAUAAUGUAAAACAAAAGCUGGUCAUUAAGGGCUGUGCUACAGCUGUGACAAUAGAUAGAAUGGUGGUCUUCAGAGGGGAGUGAAUAUGUAUUUGUAGGAACCUGAACUGACACAUUUAGCCCAAUGGUUCUCAAACUUGGGAACCUAUGGUCUAAUCCAUGUUAUUCCAUGCCUGUUGGAAUGGUAACAGCACCAUAUCUAGCUGUAACAGAGACAAAGUCAUGCUUUCCAGGGUCGAUACCUUGUGAUUAUAUCAGAAUUUGCAUGUCAUCGUCAGAAGAGAAACAACUGUUGAACCCCGCUUGGCUUAUUUCUUUGUAGUUGCUGUAAUCAGUCACUACCAUUUGCCUCAGUGCUUAACCCUAAGUGGGUGCAGGUAUGAAUCACAAAGGCAGCUGUAUAAUUAGUGGCUUUGCUACAACAUAAACUGGGCUUCUGAAAAAGAUUUCGCUCUGGUACAUGGGGUAGAUUGUGUAUGAUUUUUUUAUUCUAUAGUCAUACCCUAUCAAUUCCAAGUGUUUUACAUUUCUGCUGGGCGUUUUUUUCAUGCAACUAUAUUUCUGAUAGAAAUUUCUAUAUGAAGUUGGCUCUUUUGGUCUCAAGAAAAGAAGUUAAUCAGCCUACCUCAUUAAUAGGGGUUUAUUGUAUGUAAACACGUUGAACAAUGUGGAAGAUGGGGCUUUAAUGGGAAUUGAUAUGUGGGAACAGUAUUGAGUACGGGAAUUGGAUUCUAGCAGCUCUGGGCACCUUAACAGCAGGUAUUUUUGGUUCAUUACUCUUGUGCUACAUCACUGACAUCACCCAGCCACUCUGAAUUUGCUGUUCUUUCUAACUCAGUGGUUCUCUAUCAGAGUUAAACAUUAGAAUCACCUGAGGAACUUUAAAAAUAAACCAGGUGAGAUAUUGUGAUUUAAGUGGCCCGGGCAUCAGUAUUUUUAAAUCUCCUUACCAUUGUUCAUGCUUCUUUUGCUAUUAACUGGCUUCCCUAACCUUUAUUUCUCUACCUUCCAGCUUCUGCUUGCUUGUGGUACCCAUGGAUUGUAUUACCUUGUAAAUUUGCCUUCUCUUGGCCUUCAUGAGCUCCCUUAGAGAAAAAUCUAUGGACAUGACAGCACAAUUAAUUAAAGUAUGUGUUGCAAAGGUUGGCAGAUGUUUUCUGUAAAAUUCCUGAUAGCAAAUAUAUUAGGUUGGUGAGCCACACAAUCUUUGUUGCAACUAUUGACUCAGGGAGUCAACCAUAGACAGUGAAUGCAAAAUCUGGCUGCAGCCAGAUUUGACCUACUGGCUGUAGUUUGCUGACCCAUGGUCUGUUCUUUCCUUGUUCAUAGUAAAACUUCUUGUUUAUUCUUUCUCAAUAUUGUCUUAACUACUGUUCUCCAAUUCAGUAUUAACUUAAACUUAAGAAUUACUUUGUUUAAUUCUCUUCAUCUAAAAACUUGGGGAUAUUGUAAUAAUAUUGGACUUGUAAAUUCACUUGGUCAAAAUUAACACGUUUGUAACAUUUCUUCUAGAGACAUUUAGUCAAGUCUUUUUAUGUCCUAAUAAUCAUAAUUUAACUAAUAAUCAUAAUUUUCAUCAUGUAUAUCCCUGAUUUUUUUUUUUCUUUUGCUUUUUAGGACUGCACCUGUGGCAUAUGGAGUUUCCCAGGCUAGGGGUUAAAUUGGAGCUGCAGGGACCUCAUGGGUCCUAGUUGGAUUCGUUAACCACUGCAUCACAACGGGAACUCCAGUCUUUGAUGUUACUGAGCAUUUAUUUUAUCUAAUUAUGCCACUUGUUCAGAUUCUGUGCUGAUUAAGCAAUUUUCAUGAUUAUAAUUUGGCUAUAAGAAAAGAAUAUGCUCCUCAUGUAGAAACAAGUAUUCUGGUUACAUAGAUGAGUAUGUUUCUUAUAAUAAAUUAAAUUGGCAUGUUUAAGAUUAUUUACAUCUCAUUAUAUGUCAGCUAUGCUGAAUGCCUUUGUAAUUUAUCUUUGCACAAUUGACUCAUCGUUUCCUUACCAACCAUAAUUUUUAGUCACAGAAGCUGCAGUGAAUUUGCUCAGGGCCCUUAAGCAUGGUUUGUUCCUAUGGCAAAGAGCCUAACAAAAGAUUGAUAGUAUGGACAUGUUCCUGGCAGUAGGCAUGAACAUUAAGUAUGCGUUUGGAGAAGUAUUAGAGAAUAUGAUAAAAAUCAGUGGUUGUAGUGAGGAGAAACUCCCUUAUUUUCUAAUUGUACUAGAGAAUUGCUUUAGUCAGUUCAGAAAUAGCAGCAUCUAUAUGCUUUGUCUUGGUCCUGAGGCAUGGUUGCUGGAAGUUGGCAACAAUGGGCCAACAAAGGAUUUUUACACUCCUUGAAGUCGUAUAACUAGAGAGAUUUGCAUGAAGAAUUUGUAAUUGAAAAGCAUGCGUGCCUACUUUUAGUAGCCUGGAAGUUGAUAGUAAUGUCAUUAACCAUAGGAUAUAAGAUAUUUUAACUGAGAAUAAUAGCUUAAUAUCUAAAAAGAACUUUUGCAUCACUAAAGAAGAAAAAUGUCUUGCUGGGAACAAGUUUAGGAAAUGAAUGUACUUUUUUUUUAUCUUCUUGGGAGAAAAGUAUCCUCU